Quercus robur (English oak) is the source of this 147-nucleotide small nucleolar RNA. RefSeq annotates it as small nucleolar RNA snoR138. The record is from RefSeq and is a predicted model, not a curated record. NCBI's taxonomy places the organism in Eukaryota, Viridiplantae, Streptophyta, Magnoliopsida, Fagales, Fagaceae. The transcript has a single exon.
AUUGCCUCAGAAUAACCAGAUGGUGCAAAUAAAAAACAAAAAACGCCGUGUGGUUCAGACAGGGGCACACAGUAAUCUGAAUCUGUUUGAGGGUAAGGAACGCCUCUUCUCUUUUACUGUUCCUUUCCUAGAUGGCUUCAAACAUUC